This 253-nucleotide ribosomal RNA is filed under the name uncultured bacterium. Its description in RNAcentral is "partial 16S ribosomal RNA". It matches the Rfam family "Bacterial small subunit ribosomal RNA", at positions 524 to 776 of the family's 1533-position model. The record is from RNAcentral.
GACGAGGUGCACAAACGUUAUUCGGAUUUACUGGGCUUAAAGCGUGCGUAGGCGGCUUGGCAAGUUGGGUGUGAAAUCCCUCGGCUCAACCGAGGAAUUGCGCCCAAAACUGCUGAGCUGGAGUGAGACAGAGGUGAGCGGAACUGAUGGUGGAGCGGUGAAAUGCGUUGAUAUCAUCAGGAACACCGGUGGCGAAGGCGGCUCACUGGAUCUCUACUGACGCUGAGGCACGAAAGCUAGGGGAGCAAACGGG